CGAUCGGUGACAGGUGGUGCAUGGUUGUCGUCAGCUCGUGUCGUGAGAUGUUGGUUAAGUCCCGCAACGAGCGCAACCCCUAUUGUUAGUUGCCAUCAUUCAGUUGGGCACUCUAGCGAGACUGCCGGUAAUAAACCGGAGGAAGGUGGGGAUGACGUCAAAUCAUCAUGCCCCUUAUGACCUGGGCUACACACGUGCUACAAUGGUUGGUACAACGAGUUGCGAGUCGGUGACGGCGAGCUAAUCUCUUAAAGCCAAUCUCAGUUCGGAUUGUAGGCUGCAACUCGCCUACAUGAAGUCGGAAUCGCUAGUAAUCGCGGAUCAGCACGCCGCGGUGAAUACGUUCCCGGGCCUU
This 355-nucleotide ribosomal RNA is filed under the name uncultured Streptococcus sp. Its description in RNAcentral is "bacterial SSU rRNA". It matches the Rfam family "Bacterial small subunit ribosomal RNA", at positions 1025 to 1382 of the family's 1533-position model. Lineage: Bacteria; Bacillati; Bacillota; Bacilli; Lactobacillales; Streptococcaceae. The record is from RNAcentral.